Molecule: non-coding RNA, 232 nt
Organism: Prunus avium (sweet cherry)
Lineage: Eukaryota; Viridiplantae; Streptophyta; Magnoliopsida; Rosales; Rosaceae
Source: RefSeq, a predicted model, not a curated record
CUCCAUAUUUAUUGGUGUACUUGAGAUUAACUCAGAUAUUUCAUGAAAGCCCUUUGACCGAUUACACAGGACUUCAAAACAAAUCUGCUGGUGCAAAGCAAACUGGGAGAGAAAACAAACGAGCAGCCCAGACCCAGAAAUUAGUGUGCCUUUGGACAGAGAGGGAGAAAGUUGAACAGAUUCACCAAAGCAGAGGUAUAGCCAUUUUUUUUAACUUGCAUCGGUGAAUCAA